ACUGAGAAAAUAUGGCGCUCAGCUAGCGGAAGAAUUGAAUCAGAUAGAAGUAAAGUACGAAGAAUUACAGAAUGAAACACAUAAAUCAAGAUGAAAAUAAAAACAGAGAGCCUUUGAAGAAAAACAUGGAACACAGGAGAGAGAACAACUGGGAGACCUACAACAACUGUUGCCUAUUAAAAAUGGGCCGUAUCUUCGAGUCAUUCUUGGAAGUGUAAAUGUGUGUCUACUGAAUAAAGAUGACAGAUUCAAGUAUAAAGAUGAGUAUAAACAGUUCAAGUUGGUUGUGAUGGCUGUUAUCUUCGUUGUCUCGUUCGUAUGUUUUGCAGUGUAUUACAGGUAAGACUUAGUUAUUUGGUAAU
Molecule: long non-coding RNA, 362 nt
Organism: Limulus polyphemus (Atlantic horseshoe crab)
Lineage: Eukaryota; Metazoa; Arthropoda; Merostomata; Xiphosura; Limulidae
Exons: 4
Source: RefSeq, a predicted model, not a curated record